AUUCGUGAAGCGUUCCAUAUUUUUUCUGUUCUUAUCAGUUUAAUAUCUGAUACGUCCUCGAUGAGAGGACUUUAUAUUAAACGGAUUUUUGGGCUCGGGAGUUGGACCCGGAGCUUGCUCCCUCCGCUCCGCGCAUCGUCCCGGUAUGGCAGUGCUUCCGGGUACGGUGCACCUCCC
This 177-nucleotide small nuclear RNA is filed under the name Callipepla squamata (scaled quail). RNAcentral's name for it is "U2 spliceosomal RNA". It matches the Rfam family "U2 spliceosomal RNA". From Rfam's summary of the family: U2 is a small nuclear RNA (snRNA) component of the spliceosome (involved in pre-mRNA splicing). The record is from Rfam by way of RNAcentral. Lineage: Eukaryota; Metazoa; Chordata; Aves; Galliformes; Odontophoridae.